This 497-nucleotide ribosomal RNA is filed under the name uncultured bacterium. RNAcentral's name for it is "partial 16S ribosomal RNA". It matches the Rfam family "Bacterial small subunit ribosomal RNA", at positions 28 to 507 of the family's 1533-position model. The record is from RNAcentral.
GAUGAGCGCUGGCGGCGUGCCUAAUACAUGCAAGUCGAGCGAACAGACGAGGAGCUUGCUCCUCUGACGUUAGCGGCGGACGGGUGAGUAACACGUGGAUAACCUACCUAUAAGACUGGGAUAACUUCGGGAAACCGGAGCUAAUACCGGAUAAUAUAUUGAACCGCAUGGUUCAAUAGUUAAAGAAGGUUUUGCUGUCACUUAUAGAUGGAUCCGCGCCGCAUUAGCUAGUUGGUAAGGUAACGGCUUACCAAGGCAACGAUGCGUAGCCGACCUGAGAGGGUGAUCGGCCACACUGGAACUGAGACACGGUCCAGACUCCUACGGGAGGCAGCAGUAGGGAAUCUUCCGCAAUGGGCGAAAGCUUGACGGAGCAACGCCGCGUGAGUGAUGAAGGUCUUCGGAUCGUAAAACUCUGUUAUUAGGGAAGAACAAAUGUGUAAGUAACUAUGCACGUCUUGACGGUACCUAAUCAGAAAGCCACGGCUAACUACGUG